GACGAACGCUGGCGGCGUGCUUAACACAUGCAAGUCGAACGGAAAGGCCCUGCUUUUGUGGGGUGCUCGAGUGGCGAACGGGUGGGUAACACGUGAGUAACCUGCCCUUGACUUUGGGAUAACUUCAGGAAACUGGGGCUAAUACCGGAUAGGAGCUCCUGCUGCAUGGUGGGGGUUGGAAAGUUUCGGCGGUUGGGGAUGGACUCGCGGCUUAUCAGCUUGUUGGUGGGGUAGUGGCUUACCAAGGCUUUGACGGGUAGCCGGCCUGAGAGGGUGACCGGCCACAUUGGGACUGAGAUACGGCCCAGACUCCUACGGGAGGCAGCGGUGGGGAAUAUUGCACAAUGGGCGGAAGCCUGAUGCAGCAACGCCGCGUGCGGGAUGACGGCCUUCGGGUUGUAAACCGCUUCCGCCUGUGACGAAGCGUGAGUGACGGUAAUGGGUAAAGAAGCACCGGCUAACUACGUG
This 468-nucleotide ribosomal RNA is filed under the name uncultured bacterium. RNAcentral describes it as "partial 16S ribosomal RNA". It matches the Rfam family "Bacterial small subunit ribosomal RNA", at positions 28 to 507 of the family's 1533-position model. The record is from RNAcentral.